This 715-nucleotide ribosomal RNA is filed under the name uncultured Bacteroidales bacterium. Its description in RNAcentral is "bacterial SSU rRNA". It matches the Rfam family "Bacterial small subunit ribosomal RNA", at positions 8 to 710 of the family's 1533-position model. The record is from RNAcentral. Lineage: Bacteria; Pseudomonadati; Bacteroidota; Bacteroidia; Bacteroidales.
AGAGUUUGAUCCCGGCUCAGGAUGAACGCUAGCUACAGGCUUAACACAUGCAAGUCGAGGGGCAGCAUGGUCUUAGCUUGCUAAGGCUGAUGGCGACCGGCGCACGGGUGAGUAACACGUAUCCAACCUGCCGUCUACUCUUGGCCAGCCUUCUGAAAGGAAGAUUAAUCCAGGAUGGGAUCAUGAGUUCACAUGUCCGCAUGAUUAAAGGUAUUUUCCGGUAGACGAUGGGGAUGCGUUCCAUUAGAUAGUAGGCGGGGUAACGGCCCACCUAGUCAACGAUGGAUAGGGGUUCUGAGAGGAAGGUCCCCCACAUUGGAACUGAGACACGGUCCAAACUCCUACGGGAGGCAGCAGUGAGGAAUAUUGGUCAAUGGGCGAUGGCCUGAACCAGCCAAGUAGCGUGAAGGAUGACUGCCCUAUGGGUUGUAAACUUCUUUUAUAAAGGAAUAAAGUCGGGUAUGCAUACCCGUUUGCAUGUACUUUAUGAAUAAGGAUCGGCUAACUCCGUGCCAGCAGCCGCGGUAAUACGGAGGAUCCGAGCGUUAUCCGGAUUUAUUGGGUUUAAAGGGAGCGUAGAUGGAUGUUUAAGUCAGUUGUGAAAGUUUGCGGCUCAACCGUAAAAUUGCAGUUGAUACUGGAUGUCUUGAGUGCAGUUGAGGCAGGCGGAAUUCGUGGUGUAGCGGUGAAAUGCUUAGAUAUCACGAAGAACUCC